ACGUUGGCGGCGGACGGGUGAGUAACACGUGGGUAACCUACCUAUAAGACUGGGAUAACUUCGGGAAACCGGAGCUAAUACUGGAUAAUAUUUCGAACCGCAUGGUUCGAUAGUGAAAGGUGGUUUUGCUAUCACUUAUAGAUGGACCCGCGCCGUAUUAGCUAGUUGGUAAGGUAACGGCUUACCAAGGCGACGAUACGUAGCCGACCUGAGAGGGUGAUCGGCCACACUGGAACUGAGACACGGUCCAGACUCCUACGGGAGGCAGCAGCC
This 273-nucleotide ribosomal RNA is filed under the name uncultured Staphylococcus sp. RNAcentral's name for it is "partial 16S ribosomal RNA". It matches the Rfam family "Bacterial small subunit ribosomal RNA", at positions 89 to 355 of the family's 1533-position model. Lineage: Bacteria; Bacillati; Bacillota; Bacilli; Caryophanales; Staphylococcaceae. The record is from RNAcentral.